This 497-nucleotide ribosomal RNA is filed under the name uncultured bacterium. RNAcentral describes it as "partial 16S ribosomal RNA". It matches the Rfam family "Bacterial small subunit ribosomal RNA", at positions 28 to 507 of the family's 1533-position model. The record is from RNAcentral.
GAUGAACGCUGGCGGCGUGCCUAAUACAUGCAAGUCGAGCGAACAGACGAGGAGCUUGCUCCUCUGACGUUAGCGGCGGACGGGUGAGUAACACGUGGAUAACCUACCUAUAAGACUGGGAUAACUUCGGGAAACCGGAGCUAAUACCGGAUAAUAUAUUGAACCGCAUGGUUCAAUAGUGAAAGACGGUUUUGCUGUCACUUAUAGAUGGAUCCGCGCCGCAUUAGCUAGUUGGUAAGGUAACGGCUUACCAAGGCAACGAUGCGUAGCCGACCUGAGAGGGUGAUCGGCCACACUGGAACUGAGACACGGUCCAGACUCCUACGGGAGGCAGCAGUAGGGAAUCUUCCGCAAUGGGCGAAAGCCUGACAGAGCAACGCCGCGUGAGUAAUGAAGGUCUUCGGAUCGUAAAACUCUGUUAUGAGGGAAGAACAAAUGUGUAAGUAACUAUGCACGUCUUGACGGUACCUAAUCAGAAAGCCACGGCUAACUACGUG